This 340-nucleotide ribosomal RNA is filed under the name uncultured bacterium. RNAcentral's name for it is "partial 16S ribosomal RNA". It matches the Rfam family "Bacterial small subunit ribosomal RNA", at positions 338 to 693 of the family's 1533-position model. The record is from RNAcentral.
CCUACGGGUGGCAGCAGUGGGGAAUAUUGGGCAAUGGACGCAAGUCUGACCCAGCAACGCCGCGUGAAGGAAGAAGGCUCUCGGGUUGUAAACUUCUUUUUAGGGGGAAGUGCAGCACACGGUACCCCUUGAAUAAGCCACGGCUAACUACGUGCCAGCAGCCGCGGUAAUACGUAGGUGGCAAGCGUUGUCCGGAUUUACUGGGUGUAACGGGCGUGCAGCCGGAGAGACAAGUCAGAUGUGAAAUCCACGGGCUCAACCCGUGAACUGCAGUUGAAACUGUUUCCCUUGAGUGUCGGAGGGGUAAUCGGAAUUCCUUGUGUAGCGGGGAAAAUCGUAG